CUGAGGCCUGGGCUUGGAGACUCACCGCAGUAGCACAGCCUGUUGGUGACUGGUUGGGUACUGUGCCCCAAGCAUCUUCUGGGGUCAACACCAGGCUCCAGGGUGCCAGCGAGAGCUAUUUGACGCAGAUGUCGGAGUGGAAUUUUGCAGUACGAACCCUGACUCUGCCUGGCCACGCGGUGUGGCCAGUGCUUCUGUACACAGCAGCACCUUGUCUGCAGGGAAGGAGGCAAAAUUGCACGUCCCCUCCUGGCGAAGGCCACUUGAGGCAGGGCCGGCGCUCACUGAGCCUCAGAAAAGGCAGUCCCCGUUGUUGAUGAGGAUGGUUGGACCCUGCUGUGGCUUGGGUUGUGGUGUCCUCAAAAAUACUGAAGUCCAGCCCCAGGUACUGUGACCUUAUUUGGAACGAGGGGCCACUGUAGAUGUAAUGAAGUUAAAUGAGGUCACCUGGGAUUUAGGGUGGGCCCUAACCAGUGACUGGUGUCAUUAUGGGAAGAGGAGAGGAGACGCACAGACGCCAGGAGGUGACAGCUGAGGCCGAGGCUGGAGGGAAAGGCCACAAGCCGAGGGAGGUGAAGGCUGACCGGCGACGCUGGGAUCUGUGAGAUGCCGGGAAGGACCCGGAGCGUGGUCCUGCCAGCACCUUGAUUUCGGACUCUGGCCUCCAGGACCGUGUGAAAAUAAAUGUCUGCCAUUGAGGGCACCCCAUUGGUGGGGCUUCCUCCAGCAGCUGUGAGAGACACUCACAGACCCUACCAGGAGACGGCUGCGCCUCUGUGCGUUUUUGCCAAGGUGGCCGUUUGAGGAGAGAUGAACUUGGGAGUGGUUCCUCAGGAGCUACACGGCAUUCUGUUUCUCCCCCCUGGGGGUUGGUCAUUUUAUGAGAGAAUUGGAGGAAAAAAAAUCCCUUCCGACGCUCUAAGCCCGGGCCAGAGUGCCUGGAGCUCAAUGGAGCGGGCAUAAUUUGUUUGCUUUGCAAUUCUCUCCCCUCAGUGGAGACAAAUUGAUUUCUACGUGGAAAUGGGCCGUGGCUGGGAGGCGGCGGGCUUGUGAGAGGGCAAGGUUUGCCGGGUUUCAGGAAGGGCUGGUCCGGGCCGGCAGGCCACGGCCCACCCACUGCUGGUGAGAAUGUGCCCAGGUGAGCCCCUCCGGGACCCAGAACCCUAAAACUGCUCAGAGAGUUUGCUGUGGAGCCGCGCUGUGCCGAGCCUCUCCCGGUGCUGUCCCAAGCCUCUCCCCACGAGUCUGUGGGUGCAGCUGCUGGCCAUGUGUUUACGGAACAUCUCCCUCAAACAGAGGGACCCUGGUGGCGCCAACAGAGGCAGGGAAAACAUGGGAACGGCGGGCCUGCCCUGGGCUGUGGCCUCCUGAGACAUCAGACGCUGAGGGAAGUGUUGAAAGGCUGUAUGAUGACAGCCGCCAUACAGGAAGGCCAGGGCAUUGUUUAGCAAAUAACAAUUAAAAAUUUAUACUAUUACUAUUAUGAUGUCACCCAGAGUGCAGUGCACUGGCGCGAUCUCCGCUCACUGCAACCUCCACCUCCCAGGCUCAACCAGUUCUCCCGCCUCAGCCUCCCGAGUAGCUGGGACCAUAGGUGCACGCUGCCACACCCGACUUUUUACAAUUUUUGUAGAGAUGGGGUCUCCCUAGGUUGCCCAGGCUGGUCUCGAACUUCGGGGCUCAGGUGAUCCUCUCACCUUGGCUUCCCAAAUUGCCAUAAUUAUAGGUGGAGCCACUGUGCCCAGCCUAAAUAAUUAUUUUUUUUAAAAAGCCCAACUACUUAAUAUUCCACAAGAGGAGACAACAAUCCCAGCUGCUAUACCGAAGAAUGAAGCUGAUGUCUGGGAAAUUCUCGCGUCCACCAGGCGGGGGGGUCUUCCUGGGUCUCAUCUGGCCUCACCUCUGCACCAUCCCCAAUUGGUGAGUCCCAGUCACUCCCCGCAAGGGGGCCUCUAGGAUGCCAUGAGAUGCAGCCGUGAGCAGGUGUGCAUGGGAAGAAGGUUCGUGCUGGAGAAGUGCCUUUUCAUGGGAUCUGUGGCAGCAAAGUGCAGUGCCAAUGACUCACGGCAAACACCCGCCAGGAGAGGUGCUCAGGAGAGCCACCCUAGAGGGCUGCUGGCACGAGGCGCUCAGGAGAGCCACCCUAGAGGGCUGCUGGCACGAGGCGCUCAGGAGAGCCACCCCAGAGGGCUGCUGGCACUUGUCCCUGGGCUGUCAUGACAUGGGCAGUGUUCAUUUCGUUUCUCUAAAUGUUUAGUCUUUUUCAAAUUUUCUGUGGUGAGCAUUGGUUAUAGUUUGAAUCUGGA
Molecule: long non-coding RNA, 2306 nt
Filed under: Homo sapiens (human)
Lineage: Eukaryota; Metazoa; Chordata; Mammalia; Primates; Hominidae
Description: HSALNT0068855
Source: RNAcentral